Long non-coding RNA from Nyctereutes procyonoides (raccoon dog), 841 nucleotides. RefSeq lists it as uncharacterized. NCBI's taxonomy places the organism in Eukaryota, Metazoa, Chordata, Mammalia, Carnivora, Canidae. The transcript has 3 exons. The record is from RefSeq and is a predicted model, not a curated record.
CAGGGAGUCCUGUUCUCAUCGUGUCCCCACACCAGCAGACUCGCAUCUAGAAGCGUCCUCUGGGCUGAUGGAUUGAUGCUGGAGCUGCCCCAGAGCCAAAGGCAGGGGCCGGCAGCCUCUGCCACCUGCUUGGCUCUUCCGAAGCCCCCAGGAGUGAAGGUCAUGACUACCAGGCUAUAUUCAAAAUGAAAAAAACAUGAAUGGAUAAAGAAGCUGUGGUCUAUGUAUACAAUGGAAUAUUACUCAGCCAUUAGAAACGACAAAUACCCACCAUUUGCUUCGAAAUGGAGGGACCUGGAGGGUAUUAUGCUGAGUGAAAUUUCAUUUAUUUGAGAGAGAGAUAGAGCAAGACAGAGAGAGAGCGCAUGCAUGAGCAGGGGAGGAGAAGAGGGAGAAGCAGAGUCACCACUGAGCAAGGAGCCAGGUACCAGACUCGAUCAGAGGGCUCCAGGAUCAUGAGCUGAGCUGACGGCAGAUGUUUGACGGGGUAAGCCACCCAGGUGCCCCCAUAUAUGUUAUUUUUAAACACAGUUGAAUUUGUUCUGUGAAUGUAUCUAUACCUGCAACAUAACCAGAUGUAUAUAGUUUUUUUUUUCCUUUUGCACAUUUACAAAGAGUAAACAGUUGGUGAUAUAUAAGUAAAUUUUGUUUUCUUUGUCCUUUAUCUUCCCUGACUUUUUUUUUUUUUUCAAAAAGAGUGUAUCCAUCUUAAAAUCAGGGGAAAAAAUCAUUUAAAGAAAGGAAAGAAAGCAAUGGCAGGCAUCUCUCCUUAUCAGAGGAGAGGCUGUGGUUUCUUGAGCGAGGGGUACACCCUGACUUCGGUACAAUGAUACAGAGGGCC